GCUUCCGAAGUGAUCGAUCAGGCAGUGUCAGUCUUCAGCUGCUAAGCCAAGAAGAUCUGGGAAGGAGUCAGUCAGAGAGCCUUGGGCCAGAGUUCCAGGGGCUCUGGGAGUGGCUGUCAGUUCUACAGGGCCUGGAGCUGAUACGAAAAACCUCCCUUCUUUCCCAAAUGGUCCCCAGCUUCCCCGUUCACUGAAGGCCCUGCAGUCGGGAACAGUCAGGACUUUGCACCCAGUUGUUGUGGGUGUUUGGCCAACCCUUCCUCUUGUGUGAUUCAUGGACCUGCAGCAUUGCGUCACCUGUGAGCUUUUGGAAUUGAAGACUCUCAGGGCUCACCCGGGAGGACCUGCUGGGC
Molecule: long non-coding RNA, 353 nt
Filed under: Homo sapiens (human)
Lineage: Eukaryota; Metazoa; Chordata; Mammalia; Primates; Hominidae
Description: long intergenic non-protein coding RNA 2614
Source: RNAcentral